RNAcentral lists this microRNA precursor (63 nucleotides) under Capitella teleta. RNAcentral describes it as "Cte-Mir-1990-P1_pre stem-loop". The record is from RNAcentral. Lineage: Eukaryota; Metazoa; Annelida; Polychaeta; Capitellidae.
UAAGUUGACGUAGUCCCAGGGUUUUCACAAUCUAUUCAAGACUUGUGGUUACGUCAGCUUUGC